AAUUCAGUUUAGUUCAGUAAAAGCAAUUUUUCAGAGCAGUUUGUGCUACUUUGUACACAGGAAUGGAAAACAACAUAAACAAAGAAGAAAAAUUUGCUUUUGAUUUAACAGAUGCAGAUAACCAAACGUAAUUAAAAAUGUUUGCAUACCUACAAAAUGAAUUCGGGGAAUAUUCGCGCGAUGCCAAUGUUGAUGUCGGUAAGGCUUUUAUGAGACACUCUGUAUACUGGAAAAUAAUUAAACGUAUGCAGAUCGCAAAUCUAAGUAGAGACAAAAUCGUAUUUAAGGCAGUUUCAAAAGAAAUAGUCAAAAUUGUAAGACGUCUCCUGAAUGCGGGAUAAUCUGAAAAAAAAUUAAGUGAAGAAAAUAUCCGCAACGAAUAUAAAUUGCUUCCGACAGCAAAAUGAUCUAAAGAGAAUUAAAUUAGACAAAUAAUAAAAUGUACAACUCAA
This is a long non-coding RNA of Dendroctonus ponderosae (mountain pine beetle), 452 nucleotides long. RefSeq lists it as uncharacterized. The transcript is spliced from 3 exons. The record is from RefSeq and is a predicted model, not a curated record. NCBI's taxonomy places the organism in Eukaryota, Metazoa, Arthropoda, Insecta, Coleoptera, Curculionidae.